RNAcentral lists this ribosomal RNA (425 nucleotides) under uncultured bacterium. Its description in RNAcentral is "partial 16S ribosomal RNA". It matches the Rfam family "Bacterial small subunit ribosomal RNA", at positions 354 to 796 of the family's 1533-position model. The record is from RNAcentral.
GUGGGGAAUAUUGGGCAAUGGGCGAAAGCCUGACCCAGCAACGCCGCGUGAAGGAAGAAGGUUUUCGGAUCGUAAACUUCUAUCCUUGGUGAAGAUAAUGACGGUAGCCAAGAAGGAAGCCCCGGCUAACUACGUGCUAGCAGCCGCGGUAAUACGUAGGGGGCAAGCGUUGUCCGGAAUGAUUGGGCGUAAAGGGCGCGUAGGCGGCCCGGUAAGUCUGAAGUGAAAGUCCUGCUUUUAAGGUGGGAAUUGCUUUGGAUACUGUCGGGCUUGAGUGCAGGAGAGGUAAGCGGAAUUCCCGGUGUAGCGGUGAAAUGCGUAGAGAUCGGGAGGAACACCAGUGGCGAAGGCGGCUUACUGGACUGUAACUGACGCUGAGGCGCGAAAGUGUGGGGAGCAAACAGGAUUAGAAACCCCUGUAGUCC